RNAcentral lists this unclassified non-coding RNA (200 nucleotides) under soil metagenome. Its description in RNAcentral is "partial contains internal transcribed spacer 2 and large subunit ribosomal RNA". The record is from RNAcentral.
CGUGGGUUUUCCCGUCGGUGGACUUGGACUUGGGUGUCUGCCGACUGGCUCGCCUCAAAUACGUUAGCGAGACAAGCUGCCUUAUGGCCUUGACGUGAUAAGUUUCGUCGGGCCUGGCUCCUUAUGCCCGCUCAUCACCCGCCCUCGGGCAACACUUUAUGCUGGACCUCAAAUCAGGUAGGACUACCCGCUGAACUUAA